Molecule: long non-coding RNA, 1242 nt
Organism: Daphnia pulicaria
Lineage: Eukaryota; Metazoa; Arthropoda; Branchiopoda; Diplostraca; Daphniidae
Exons: 2
Source: RefSeq, a predicted model, not a curated record
CGACAACUUUUUCAAAUAUUGACCAAUGGACUACUGCGAAUUUCCCGAGUGGUCAGCUCAUCGCCCAUUUCAAGAACGUGCUUCAGUUCUUCAAGUUCUUGAAUGCCACACUUCCUCGUCUCGUAGAUUCCGGAGGAGCAAAACUCAUCGGAGUAGACGGUCGCGAUGGUUGAUGAUCGGCUUCACUUAGAUGUCCCCGAUUAAAGGAGCCCAUUGAGCUGUGCGAACUCGAUCUACUGUUGAAGGCUGCUUGUCUUACUGCUGGAGGGAAGUAAUGAAUAGGAGAAGGAGGGACAGUUGAAGAAGCAAUUCCACUUUCAUGAUCAGAGGACGCUUCGUCAUUCUCUGGUGUGUUCUUCAUUCUCUUAUGCCGUUGAAUGCCGUGUGAACUUAAUAUUCCAACUUGUACAAUUGUUUUUCAGUAAUAAUAUAGGGGCACAGACAAACUCGAACUAACCGAUUUUUAGCAAUGUGUUCGGCAGGCAGGUUCUUGUACGACUGAAAACAUAGAACUCCGGAUCCAGUAGUUUAUUCAGCCGAUAAUUGCACUUCCGUACAAUUAGUAAGGCACCAGCACAAAAAGCGUGGGUGGUGUGGAAUGCAGUGAUAGUCGUAUGCAAUUGUAGAGUAAGGCCAAUUGAUUGCUUUUUUGACCAUGAUGAAUUUUGUUUCCCUUUACUUGUCCUACUUUGGGUUUUCUCUAUUGAUGUGUUGCCAAUUAAAAUAUCAUCAAGUGUUGUUCAUGCAUGAAUGACAGUUCCGGUCUCAAAUUCAUCCGGUUUCCAAGGUUAUAUAUUCUUAUCGUGAUGGCUGGAUUUAGGCUGUUAAAUACUACAUUGAAGUGUGGCUCACGAGGAGUAAACAAUCAACACUGCCCAUAAUUUAUAGACGUUACGUCUUGUUUUCGAAAUCAAGGAAACAAUACGCAAUGCAAUUUUUAGCUGGAGGGAUUCCGUGAGUAGCCUUUAGUUGCUUGUCUGGGAAAUGGGAAUGACAAGGCAAUAUUGCAUGGCAAAUCUGGUUCACCUUGACCCACACUACCGUACAUAGAAACUAUCAUCAUAUAAGUGUACACACUUCUUGAAAUAAAACUAUAAAUCUCUGCACAUUGUUUAUGCGCGUUACACCGCUAUCGUCUUUUCGUGCUGCAAAAUUGUUGGAAUGAUAAGAACUCAUUCAUUUUCUGUAAUUCUCAUCCUUUGAAUAAUGAUUUGAUGAAAUACGACCUUGAAUUUAGCGUUU